UGCCACUUCGGGUGUGACACGGAAAUCCUCCAUUGCUGUUUCACAGAGUCAGUGUGACCCAAGAUUGGAGUUUGCUUUCAUGCAGUGAACUGAAGAGUAAGAACGGAGUGAACUAAUACGAGAAACCAACUCUGUAGAUGACAAGGUUAAUGAAAAUCUUAGACAGAAGUUGCUGUAAACAUUUCAGAUUGAUUGAGGACAUUGCAGCAGCCACAGAGACGUGAAAGAGGACUGCUGGAACUGCUUCAGAAGGCAGCAAGACCCGCGGGAGAACUGUCUGAAGUGAGGGAGGAAUACUUUGCGGGUGAUUAGUGGCGGAGAUCCAGCCCAUACCUGCUGUGACUACGGCAAGACCAGAAGUCGCUGUCAGGCGGUGGCACCCUGCACCCUGUUCCCGUGAUCAGAGCACCCUUGAUUGUGAGGACCCCCCUGUCUGGGGGCUGGACGUGGCCCUCGCUGUGUGGUUGGCCCUGCUGGCCCUAGUGCAAACACCGGGUGCUCAGAAUGUGUCAAGCUUUCAUUGUCCACAACACGGAAGGGCAGAGACAAGAUGAGGAACAAGGAUGCAGGUCAUUGGUGACCAGAACACAAAUGCUUCCAUUAUUUCAUUCUUCCCCGAAGUCUGUGAUCGACUGGGGCAGGAGAUGCUCUGGGUUUUACAGAUGGAGACGCUAAGGUCCCAAGAAGGUGACCAUGCCAGUUGGCACAGCAAGCUACUAAGCUGGCACUGGGAUGGUGGUGGUUGUGGCUCUACCUCACCGAGCACAGGUCUCCAGUUGCAGUUGUCACAUUUCAAGGGCUCAAUAGCCACAUGUGCAUCUUAGUGGAAGCCCCACCUGGAUCAAGGCAUGAGAACAUAAACACCGCCUCUCGAUGGGAGAAGGGCCAAGCUGGGUGGACUUGCCGUGCCACGGAAUGAAAGCAAGCCUGGCCCCCUUCUCACUGAUUGAAAGACGGAGCCACUGACAGCCAUCUCCAGCAGCUUCCUUGCUGGCGGGGGUUCCUCCAUUAACAGCAAUGAAAAUAAUUUGGGAGAACAUAAGCCCAUCGAAUGCUGUUGCUGUCCUAUGCAUUGCACCAAAUGAGGAGAAGCCCGGUGAGCUCCAUCGUUUGUCACACGGAAGCAUAACACAGUAGCGGGGUUGCCGGCAUCUGGAGUUGGUGGCAGUAGACGGUGUGGCAGCAACCAGGGCACUGAGACCUGGGACCAGGGCGCACAUUUCACGGGUCUCUGUGCAGGUGAUUUGGCUGGGUUUUCCUUUAGCUUGAGGGCUUCG
This 1277-nucleotide long non-coding RNA is filed under the name Heterocephalus glaber (naked mole-rat). RNAcentral describes it as "lncRNA (ENSHGLG00100042158.1)". Lineage: Eukaryota; Metazoa; Chordata; Mammalia; Rodentia; Bathyergidae. The record is from RNAcentral.